RNAcentral lists this transfer RNA (72 nucleotides) under Camelus bactrianus (Bactrian camel). It matches the Rfam family "tRNA". Rfam says of the family: Transfer RNA (tRNA) molecules are approximately 80 nucleotides in length. Their secondary structure includes four short double-helical elements and three loops (D, anti-codon, and T loops). Lineage: Eukaryota; Metazoa; Chordata; Mammalia; Artiodactyla; Camelidae. The record is from Rfam by way of RNAcentral. RNAcentral also lists the same sequence under 3 other names.
GAGGGUAUAGCUCAGUGGUAGAGCAUGUGCUUAGCAUGCACAAGGUCCUGGGUUCAAUCCCCAGUACUUCCA